This 751-nucleotide ribosomal RNA is filed under the name uncultured Enterococcus sp. RNAcentral describes it as "bacterial SSU rRNA". It matches the Rfam family "Bacterial small subunit ribosomal RNA", at positions 1 to 756 of the family's 1533-position model. Lineage: Bacteria; Bacillati; Bacillota; Bacilli; Lactobacillales; Enterococcaceae. The record is from RNAcentral.
UCGGCUUAGAGUUUGAUCAUGGCUCAGGACGAACGCUGGCGGCGUGCCUAAUACAUGCAAGUCGAACGCUCGAGUGCUUGCACUCAAGGAGUGGCGGACGGGUGAGUAACACGUGGGUAACCUGCCCAACAGAGGGGGAUAACACUUGGAAACAGGUGCUAAUACCGCAUAACAAUUGACCGCAUGGUUUAAUUUGAAAGACGUUCGUGUCACUGUUGGAUGGACCCGCGGUGCAUUAGCUAGUUGGUGAGGUAACGGCUCACCAAGGCCAUGAUGCAUAGCCGACCUGAGAGGGUGAUCGGCCACACUGGGACUGAGACACGGCCCAGACUCCUACGGGAGGCAGCAGUAGGGAAUCUUCGGCAAUGGACGAAAGUCUGACCGAGCAACGCCGCGUGAGUGAAGAAGGUUUUCGGAUCGUAAAACUCUGUUGUUAGAGAAGAACAAGUGAGAGGUAACUCUUGCCUUGACGGUAUCUAACCAGAAAGCCACGGCUAACUACGUGCCAGCAGCCGCGGUAAUACGUAGGUGGCAAGCGUUGUCCGGAUUUAUUGGGCGUAAAGCGAGCGCAGCGGUUUCUUAAGUCUGAUGUGAAAGCCCCCGGCUCAACCGGGGAGGGUCAUUGGAAACUGGGAGACUUGAGUGCAGAAGAGGAGAGUGGAAUUCCAUGUGUAGCGGUGAAAUGCGUAGAUAUAUGGAGGACACCAGUGGCGAAGGCGACUCUCUGGUCUGUACUGACGCUGAGGCUCGA